CAUCGAUGAAGAACGCAGCGAAAUGCGAUACUUGGUGUGAAUUGCAGAAUCCCGUGAACCAUCGAGUCUUUGAACGCAAGUUGCGCCCGAAGCCUUCUGGCCGAGGGCACGCCUGCCUGGGCGUCAC
This 127-nucleotide ribosomal RNA is filed under the name Veronica aphylla. Its description in RNAcentral is "partial 5.8S ribosomal RNA". It matches the Rfam family "5.8S ribosomal RNA", at positions 31 to 154 of the family's 154-position model. From Rfam's summary of the family: 5.8S ribosomal RNA (5.8S rRNA) is a component of the large subunit of the eukaryotic ribosome. It is transcribed by RNA polymerase I as part of the 45S precursor that also contains 18S and 28S rRNA. The record is from RNAcentral. Lineage: Eukaryota; Viridiplantae; Streptophyta; Magnoliopsida; Lamiales; Plantaginaceae.